ACGUACGCUGGCGGCACGCCUAACACAUGCAAGUCGAACGAAGUAGCAAUACUUAGUGGCAGACGGGUGAGUAACAUGUAGGUAUCUGCCCUUUGGCCUGGAAUAACACGAGGAAACUUGUGCUAAUACCGGAUAAGUCUUUACGGAGAAAGCUUUAUGCACCAUUGGAUGAGCCUGCACUUGAUUAGUUUGUUGGUGGGGUAAUGGCCUACCAAGACUGUGAUCAAUAGCUGAUUUGAGAGGAUGAUCAGCCACAUUGGGACUGAGACACGGCCCAAACUCCUACGGGAGGCAGCAGUGGGGAAUCUUGCACAAUGGAGGAAACUCUGAUGCAGCGAUGCCGCGUGAGUGAAGAAGGCCCUUGGGUUGUAAAGCUCUUUCGUCGGGGAAGAAAAUGACUGUACCCGAAUAAGAAGGUCCGGCUAACUUCGUGCCAGCAGCCGCGGUAAUACGAAGGGACCUAGCGUAGUUCGGAAUUACUGGGCUUAAAGAGUUCGUAGGUGGUUGAAAAAGUUAGUGGUGAAAUCCCAGAGCUUAACUCUGGAACUGCCAUUAAAACUUUUCAGCUAGAGUAUGAUAGAGGAAAGCAGAAUUUCUAGUGUAGAGGUGAAAUUCGUAGAUAUUAGAAAGAAUACCAAUUGCGAAAGGCAGCUUUCUGGAUCAUUACUGACACUGAGGAACGAAAGCAUGGGUAGCGAAGAGGAUUAGAUACCCUCGUAGUCCAUGCCGUAAACGAUGUGUGUUAGACGUUGGAAAUUUAUUUUCAGUGUCGCAGCGAAAGCGAUAAACACACCGCCUGGGGAGUACGACCGCAAGGUUAAAACUCAAAUGAAUUGACGGGGACCCGCACAAGUAGUGGAGCAUGUGGUUUAAUUCGAAGAUACGCGCAGAACCUUACCAACACUUGACAUGUUCGUCGCGACUCUAAGAGAUUAGAGUUUUCGGUUCGGCCGGACGAAACACAGGUGCUGCAUGGCUGUCGUCAGCUCGUGUCGUGAGAUGUUGGGUUAAGUCCCGCAACGAGCGCAACCCUCACUUUUAGUUGCCAUCAUUAAGUUGGGCACUCUGAAAGAACUGCCAGUGAUAAGCUGGAGGAAGGUGGGGAUGACGUCAAGUCCUCAUGGCCCUUACGUGUUGGGCUACACACGUGCUACAAUGGUAUCUACAACAGGAAGCAAGACUGCGAAGUUAAGCAAAUCCCUAAAAGAUACCUCAGUUCGGAUUGCACUCUGCAACUCGAGUGCAUGAAGCUGGAAUUACUAGUAAUCGUGGAUCAGCGUGCCACGGUGAAUGCGUUCCCGGGUCUUGUACACACCGC
RNAcentral lists this ribosomal RNA (1318 nucleotides) under uncultured Alphaproteobacteria bacterium. Its description in RNAcentral is "bacterial SSU rRNA". It matches the Rfam family "Bacterial small subunit ribosomal RNA", at positions 29 to 1393 of the family's 1533-position model. Lineage: Bacteria; Pseudomonadati; Pseudomonadota; Alphaproteobacteria. The record is from RNAcentral.